RNAcentral lists this ribosomal RNA (1264 nucleotides) under Abscondita chinensis. Its description in RNAcentral is "16S ribosomal RNA". The stretch from base 1025 to 1183 matches the Rfam family "Archaeal large subunit ribosomal RNA", at positions 2542 to 2701 of the family's 2987-position model. Lineage: Eukaryota; Metazoa; Arthropoda; Insecta; Coleoptera; Lampyridae. The record is from RNAcentral.
UUAUAAAUUUAAUUAUUAUUAUUGAUUUUUUAAAGUAUUAUUUUAUUUAUUAUUAUAAAAGAAAAAUUAAUUUUUUAUUAUAGUUUACUAGUAAAGUGAUUGAAUUUAUUUAUAUAUUAAUAAGAAAAAUUUAUUUUUUGUACCUUGUGUAUCAGGAUUGAUUAAUUUUAUAAUUAUUAUUAAUUUUUCUCGAAUUAAGAAGAGCUAAUUAUGUAUAUGUUUAAUUUUUUCAUAAAUUUUCAUAAUAUAUAAUUUGAAAUGAAAUGUUACUCGUUUCUUAAUAUAUCUAGUUUUUUAAGAAAAGAAUUUAAUUCUCUUAUUAUUUAUUAUUAGUUAAUUUUUAGUUAAUAAUUUUUAGUAUGAAAUAAAUAAAGGGAUAAGCUUUUAUUUUAAUAAUUAAAAAUUUAUUUGAUUUUAUUUUUUGUAUAAUUUAAAUUGUUAAUCAUUUUUAUAAUAUAAUAGUUAAUUUUAUUUAAUUAAUGAUUUAUAUUUAUUUUAAUUUUUUUAUUAAAAAUUUAUGUUUAAUUUUUUAGCUUUAUUUAUAAUGAUUAAAUUAGUAGAUAAAUAUGUAUUUUAUUAUUUAUUUUUAAGAUAAUAAAAAGGAACUCGGCAAAUAAAUUUUUCGCCUGUUUAUUAAAAACAUGUCUUUUUGAUUAUAAUUUAAGGUUUAAUCUGCUCAAUGAUUUAUUAAAUUGCCGCAGUAUUUUGACUGUGCAAAGGUAGCAUAAUAAUUAGCUUUUUUAUUGAGAGCUGGAAUGAAUGAUUGGACGAAAAAAUUUCUGUCUCUUUAUUAUUUAUUAUUUAAUUUUACUUUUAAGUUAAAAGGCUUAAAUUUUUUUAAAAGACGAGAAGACCCUAUAGAGUUUUAUUUUUAUUUUUUGAUUGAUUUUUAGAAUUUAAAAUAUUUUAUAAAAUAAAAAAUUUAGUUGGGGUGACUGAAAGAUUAAUUAAACUCUUUUAAUUGAAAUCAUUUAUUUAUGAAUAGAGAAAUUAUUUUUAUAAAUUUAAAAUAAAUUACCUUAGGGAUAACAGCGUUAUUUUUCUUUAGAGUUCUUAUUGAAAGGAAAGAUUGCGACCUCGAUGUUGGAUUAAAAUUUAUUUUUGGUGUAGAAGCUUAAAUAUUAAGUCUGUUCGACUUUUAAAAUUUUACAUGAUCUGAGUUUAAACCGGUGUAAGCCAGGUUGGUUUCUAUCUUUAAAUUUUUAAUAUAUUUUAGUACGAAAGGACCAAAUAUAUAAUAUAUUAUUUUAUUUUGAAUAAUAUU